GUGCUCACUUUGGCAGCACUAAAAUUGGAACUAUACAGAGAUUAGCAUGGCCCCUGUGCAAAGAUGACAUGCAAAUUUGUGAAGAGUUCCAUCUUUAA
RNAcentral lists this small nuclear RNA (98 nucleotides) under Colobus angolensis palliatus. The record is from RNAcentral. Lineage: Eukaryota; Metazoa; Chordata; Mammalia; Primates; Cercopithecidae.